CACAAUCCUUAGAGCGGCUGCUGUUUUUCCUCUGCUAGGGUUUACUCCUAACCCUAAACCAGUGAGCUCAGUUACGUUUCCUAGCCUUAUCUCAGUAAUCUGCCGCUGGAGCUUCGCGUUCCGCUGUUGGAGACGCACCCCGCUCUUAGCCCUUUUUCAGAUGGGCGAAGUUCUCGUGGUCAACAAGGGAAUGGU
Molecule: long non-coding RNA, 195 nt
Organism: Vigna unguiculata (cowpea)
Lineage: Eukaryota; Viridiplantae; Streptophyta; Magnoliopsida; Fabales; Fabaceae
Source: RefSeq, a predicted model, not a curated record